RNAcentral lists this ribosomal RNA (274 nucleotides) under uncultured bacterium. RNAcentral describes it as "partial 16S ribosomal RNA". It matches the Rfam family "Bacterial small subunit ribosomal RNA", at positions 523 to 796 of the family's 1533-position model. The record is from RNAcentral.
AUACGGAGGGGGUUAGCGUUGUUCGGAAUAACUGGGCGUAAAGCGCACGUAGGCGGAAUGUUAAGUUAGAGGUGAAAUCCCAGGGCUCAACCCUGGAACUGCCUUUAAUACUGGCAAUCUAGAGACCGAGAGAGGUGAGUGGAAUUCCGAGUGUAGAGGUGAAAUUCGUAGAUAUUCGGAGGAACACCAGUGGCGAAGGCGGCUCACUGGCUCGGUACUGACGCUGAGGUGCGAAAGCGUGGGGAGCAAACAGGAUUAGAAACCCUAGUAGUCC